Daphnia pulex (common water flea) is the source of this 1486-nucleotide long non-coding RNA. RefSeq lists it as uncharacterized. The record is from RefSeq and is a predicted model, not a curated record. Lineage: Eukaryota; Metazoa; Arthropoda; Branchiopoda; Diplostraca; Daphniidae. The transcript is spliced from 8 exons.
UUCUUUACUAUCGUUGAAAAAAUAUGGCGGUUGGUGACCACGUUAUGAUUUGGAUUUUGGAUUGUCAACGGUACUUUCCGUGUGUGUUAACCUACAGUAACAAGACCCACGGAUAACAAAAGACGUUUACAUCAAAAGUUCGUAAGGAAAAGAAAGAAAGCUUUUGAAUAAAUUUACGAAAAGGACGAAAAGAGCUUGCGAAAUGUGAACGUACGGUAUGAAUGCAGGAUAUCAGCCAGAGGUCAUUCAGGCCCACUUUAAAAUUAAACAAGCAUUAUUAAGCAUGUUCUAUGAGGACCUUGGAGAGUAUGAAAAGUGAUACCAGUUAUCUUUGAUAGCUGCAUAUUUAUCUCCUCAAGAUGCCGAUGAAUGGCUACGAUUAGCCGAGGUCAUGAUCAGAACUAUGGAAAAUAUUCUGUCCACCAGGGAAUGACGCCUUAGGAGAAAGAACUGCGGUUGCGAUCUUCAACAAUAUUGCGUAACAAUAUUGCGUCUUUGCUGCAGGAAGAAUUCAUCCAGUUAACGCUAUUUCGUGUGCCCUGACACUCAGGAUACGAAUCACUUGUAAUCCCAAAUUGAGCGAAGAUGGUGGACGAGAGUAGCAACCUGCAACCCAGAAGCUGCUCAACUCUAGAAGGCGUUGAGCGAAGAUGAAAUCAAAGUAAAUUGCAGUUGGUUCCGUGUCCUCCACUACCAAAUCAGUCGCUCUGCUCAGAGCCUGAUUGAAGUGAUUGACGAAUUUGAUGAAUUUUGAUGCUUUAAGACUUGGAGACCAUAUUUUCCACCACUUCGAGAAGCUGAGUAAAAUUCUACUUGUACAAUGUUAAGAAUGGCACCUUUUGAUAAAAGGAACUUCAGCCAUCCAAUCUAGGACUUCCAUCCAAUCGUGCAGGCUGCAUGGAAGUCGCAUUUACCUUUGCUGUGAACAUCAUGAACACAUACACUAUUUGAAGGUUCAUGUUAACAUAGCAGUGGUGUUGCUGUCCAAUGUGGCGUGUUAUUGCAGCCUAUGGCGGUGAAAGAUAUCUGCAUCCAGCAUUGUGUUUAAUUGCUAUUUGUGUCUAUGCAGUUUACCUUUUAUAUAUUGAGAAGGAACACAAAAAAGUAAUACGGGGAGGUUCAUGUCAAACAAAUAAAAACAUGUCCGCGAUUGGGGAAUGAGGAGGGAGUUGGGGUGGGAUAUUUGAUUAUCAUUUACUAAAAGAAGUGAGGUGUGUUUUUAAUGAAUACGCAAUACUUAGUGAUAAAAUUUGUUGUUAACCUAUAUAACCUUCCUCACUUACACAUCCAUUCCUCAAACCCCAUAAACACCAACAUCAAAUCCCACAUCCACUUACAUCCAUUCCUCAAACCCCAUAAACACCAACAUCAAAUCCCACAUCCACUUACAUCCAUUCCUCAAACCCCACAAUCUCCAACAUCAAACCACACAAUUGUUGUAUAUCUAUAACCAUCUAUAUAUAUAAAUAAAUUAAAUGUCAUUGUA